UACGUAGGGUGCAAGCGUUAAUCGGAAUUACUGGGCGUAAAGCGUGCGCAGGCGGUGAUGUAAGACAGAUGUGAAAUCCCCCGGCUCAACCUGGGAACUGCGUCUGAUACUGGACGGCUUGAGUUUGGGAGAGGGAUGUAGAAUUCCAGGUGUAGCGGUGAAAUGCGUAGAUAUCUGGAGGAAUACCGGUGGCGAAGGCGGCAUCCUGGACCAAUACUGACGCUGAGGCGCGAAAGCGUGGGGAGCAAACAGG
RNAcentral lists this ribosomal RNA (253 nucleotides) under uncultured bacterium. RNAcentral's name for it is "partial 16S ribosomal RNA". It matches the Rfam family "Bacterial small subunit ribosomal RNA", at positions 524 to 776 of the family's 1533-position model. The record is from RNAcentral.